ACUUCAUAUUAUUUUGCACAUUGUUUUCUUUGGAAGCCUAUUACUAAAACCAAGUACCUUUUAGAGAACUUUCUUCUUGAGAAUCUAGUAUCUUCUGUCUCUCCUGGCCAUAAAAUGGAUCUCAGAUCAAUUGAAGUGUCCUUUAGGUUGAAUUUAAGAUCUAGCAACAACAUUAUCAACCUAGCUACUCUGCUGGUAUCAUUACCAAGAGCAAUAAGAUCACGCAGAAAUCAUCAAACUAGAGCAUUACCAGUUAAUGAUGACAUUCCCUACCCAAAUCAAGAAACAAGUCGUGAUCAGCUACAUACUGCUAUACAUCUUCCAGAUGGGAGGCUCAUGCCAUUAAGAGCAUCCCAAGGACCUUCAAUUGUCUGAUGAUGCCAGGGCCAGGAGAGACAGAUGGAGAGCAGGCAAACGAUAUAGGUUUUUAUAAAGUGUGACAAGUCUUAUCCAUAGGCCUUUUGUUUAACAUAGGCUGUGUGAAGACAGAAGUUGUCGCACUUGACGUCUAAAGGUUCAUAUAUAUCCAGUCAGGCUGGUUGUGCCCUACAACAAUUGUGGAAGUCAUUAGUGCCAAGGAAUCCCUCUACAACAGUUGUACGCAAACCAUUUUUAGCCACUGUGAGCUUCUAUAUGAACGAAUUACUUUACACAUUAUGUAAAGUAAACAAGGAGCCUAAUAAAACGUUUAGCAUCAAUAUGUUUAACGUGAAUCACAUUAGCCUCCAGAGGAAUUGCAGCUAUGCGAGUUUUCCUCAUAAUGAGAUGUAACUUGCAGAAAGCGCAUAGGGUAUAGGCAAGAGUACUCUUGGUAUAGGGUAUAGCCUUUCAUUGAGAUGAUUAUUGUCUCAUGGAGCCAGAAUUACAUACGUUUAGUGAACGAUGUAAUUAAUUUUUUCCUCACAAUUAACCACAUUGAAGGCAUUGAAGGCAUGUUGUGACUCUUAGCUAAAAGUCUCACAAUUCAAUGCAUUGAUUCAAUGUGUGUUAUAGACGGUUUAGAAAUCCUUGGCAAACCAAAUCAAUUGUCUUGCUUACCAUCUGUCUUUCCAGACCCUUGCAUGACAGAACAGUAACAUUUUAUUGAUAUUAAAUCUCAGUUUAUGGUUCUUUUUGUAAUCUUUUUUUUGUAAUUGUUUUUUUGUAAUCUUUUUCCUCUUUAUUUGCUAACAACAACAGCUAAUUCAAACUGCUGAGCUAAGUUGUGGGGGUUUCCCGGGGAAAUCACCUAAUUAAGCUAAAAUCAACAAUAGUAAGACAAUGGUUAAAGAAUGCAAUUAAAUGUCACAUGUCACAACUGAUAAGAAUCAUGUUCAUAAAUAUCAAUUCAUCCUAAAAUUAUAAAUGUAAAAAGAACAACAUGUUGACACACUUGCAUGUCCAUUGUUAAGCUAGUUCCAAGGAAAAGGUGACCUCAGAUGACAAUGGAUCUACAAUCUAUCAUAAUAGGAGUCUCUAUUGGAGUAGUAAUAGGCUGGUCUAUUAAGUGGUAUAGUAGUAAAGGUAUUAAUACCAUCCCUGGUUAUACAGACAACUACCCAAUCCAAGAAGUAACAACAGAUCAAACCCAUACCGGUAUACACUCUCCUGUCACCGGGUAAGUAUGUCAACAUUCCUGUGUCAUGUUUUCUUUAUAGAAUGAUAUUCCCAAUGAACUUAAGUUCCAAUAGGGUCAUAGCUUAAGGGUCGGAGAGACAGACAUGUAGCUAGGUAGUGCAAAAACAAGCCUAAGCUUAGCUUAAGGCUCAACACAAUUUUAAUCACAUUUAUAUAGGCAGCAGCCUAUACAACUGAGGUUAAUGGCCAAUGGCCAUUUUUAUAAACCUCAUUACACUUGUUACAAUUUUAACAAAUGACUAUAUUUGUUACCAUAUUUGUACCAUAUGUGUUACCAAUUUGGUACCACCAAUUGACCAUAUCUGUUAACAAAUGACCACAUUGACGCAUACAUCAUUGAACAGACUGUUAUUGGUCUGUUAUUCAUGUACUUCACCCUUACUCUUUGUGUUAUCUGCCUACAAAUGUCUGUCUCUCCUAACCCAAAGGAGAACUGGCCUCUUCCUGCUGCUGCUGCUGCUGCUGCUGAAAAAUAUACUUAAAACUUUUAACAAUAAUUGCAAUAGUAUUGUAUAGCUGCUUAUUGCUACUGGCUGUAUAUGCAUGUAUUAUAUUGUUACUCAAUACAUUUUUGUUAGCUCAGCAAAACAGUGUUAUAAUUAUGGUAAGGCAGUUUAUACUACAUUUACAUUGAAUACAUACAUGUACAUACACAUAAAGACAUUGUUUACUAGCAAUAGAUAUUCUAAAAUAAACUGAAUUAAGUUACAACAACAUGUUACUAACAUCAUCUACUUAGCUAUCAUUAUAAUCAAAACUGCACUAACAUCCGUCUCGGCAAAGAGCUACUAUGAAUAACAAUUGACAUAAAUAUACGGAGGAAGGCCGUGUUAUUCAUAAGUGCUAUUGUGUAAGCUAACAAAGAGAGACGGGAGGAGAAUUACUACCAUAUAGGUAUAUACAAGUAGGGGAAUUAGGGACUAAUAGCAGGCAGCUAGGAACCAUUCUAAAAGGAGUGAAAAGGAGACAUCUAAAGCAAGAUGACCGAUCCAAUAUCAUUGAUAGUUGCAUUGCUACUCAUCAAUCUCCUCAUGUCACUAAUGCUAGUGAUCACUAGUGUCUUUGCCAUUACAGCCACCUGGGUCAUUCAGUUCAUCAUUAUGGCAGGACUGGUCUUUAUGGCAGGCAUAUUCAUCGCUCUCUUGUAUUGCUGUCUUGGUGGAAGGAGGAAAGAAAGAAAAAUCAAAUAUCC
This is a long non-coding RNA of Amphimedon queenslandica, 2809 nucleotides long. RefSeq lists it as uncharacterized. The transcript is spliced from 4 exons. NCBI's taxonomy places the organism in Eukaryota, Metazoa, Porifera, Demospongiae, Haplosclerida, Niphatidae. The record is from RefSeq and is a predicted model, not a curated record.